Molecule: RNA transcript, 1571 nt
Organism: Nematostella vectensis (starlet sea anemone)
Lineage: Eukaryota; Metazoa; Cnidaria; Anthozoa; Actiniaria; Edwardsiidae
Exons: 4
Source: RefSeq, a predicted model, not a curated record
CUAUUAAAGACCGAAGAGACCUUAAGACCACCUUACAAAGACCAAGGAUUUUAAGAAGCUGGUUUCCCUACAAUACAAUGUCUAUUUUAGUAUCGCAUGAUUACCAUGCUCACGUAAAUUAUUGGGUGACGCGGCGUGACUUUGCGUGACGCUAUUUCGCCAUCAUGUAUAACAUUAAAUAUCAACUAGUCUAAGCAUGCCUGCCUCGCUUCGCUGCACGACAAUAGCAACACCGUGUAAAAUAAUGAUUUUUAUCAACGAAAGUUUGGGAGCCUGUCAAUAGAUUAAAGGCUAUUUUUAAAGACAUGGAAGCUAGUUCUUUUGAUGUUUUUGAAACAGGCUCAGCGCUUCGAGCGGUCCUGCAACGAGGUCUGCAGCGGAAAAAAAAAAUCCCCGGCCAUGUGGGAUUACAUAUUGAUGGUCCUAGACAUUUUUUUUGUCACGAUACAGAGCUUCAAACAUACGUGCAUUCUUGAAAAAUAGGGGGUGCCCAGUCAAGAUACCCAAAUACAUGACUACUUCUGAAUCGAAGGAGAUCCCCGUGGACCUUAUGCACGAAAUGAAGGCGGAGGAGGAAGUAACACACGAUCUUGGUUUGCACAACCAUGCGACGAGUUUGGAAAUUUUCAGAAAAUUAGUCCAAACAUCCCUCGGGCUUAGUAAGUUAUUUUUUCGUUCACAAUUGUAUCUUAUCAGCUGCUAAUUAUGUUAUUGUUAUGUUAUUUCUUAGACGACAGUGAUAUCAUCGAAACAAAAGUUAUGCAGCUAAAGCCCAUCGUAACGGGAAGGUUGCGCGAGGCUAAAAAGUCCAUCUUGAAAGCAACAAACUCGGAUGAGUUUGAUGAGUUGAUGAUCAUCAUCAACACUAACUCUUGUAAUUUUGUAUCCUUUCACAGAAAAGUUCUUCCUCAUUGGCUGCAGAAAUGACACCUGAACAGAGAGAGAUGGGGAGGGAAGUGGCUCAAAACACCCCAAAGCGGCCAUCCUCAGUUAAAUGUCCAAAAUGUGGCAAAGACGAGAGCCACUUAAAACGCCACAUGGCCCGGAGGCAUGGCUGGUCUGCGAAACACUACAACAAGUGGGUACGACAAGUAAGAAUGCAAGCCAAUAAAGACAAACGAAGAGUGGUGAAGUGCCCUGUCAAGGCGUGCAAUUGGGCAAGGGCUGCGCCUUGACAGGCACUGCCAAUACCGACAUCCAACAUUGCCGCCAACUACUUAUAAACUGGCACUGGCACUGGCAGUGGGAAUGAAGCCAACGUCACCAACCAAACCAAAAGCUGUCAUUAAAAGAACGAUCCCUUCCUCCGACGAGGAAGACAGCGAAAAAGAAAAGACACCGGUCACACCGACUAAAAGUAAGUCACCGACUAAAAUCAGACGAUUGUUGUCAUCGUCGUCAGACUCCGCGUCCGAUGAGGAGAGUUGCCAGGAGUCUAGCCAGGAAAGCGAUGAGUUGGACCAGACCUUCAAAAGUUCCGAUUGGUUUCAAGGCAUGCAGAAUACUCUUAUCGCAUACCUGAGGGGGUUUGAGCGUUGGCUUAUAACGCCAAAUGGGAGUUCGAAGACAAA